UCCAGGUCUUGGCUGUAGUGACUAGUGCUGCUGUGAACACUGGGGUGCAUGUAUUUUUUGAAUGGUCGUUUUUUCUGGGUAUAUGCCCAGGAGUGGGAUUGCUGGAUCAUAUGGCAACUCUGUUUAGCUUUUCGAGAAACCUCCACAGUGUUCUCCAUAGUGGUUGUACCAAUUUACAUCCCAACAGGGUGGGGGAGGCCCCCUUUUCUCCACACCCUCUCCAGCAUUUGUUAUAGCUUAAUGAUGGCUAUUCUGACAGGUGGAAGGGGGUACCUUAUUGCUGUUUGGAUUUGCAUUUCUCUGAUAAUCAGGGAUGUUGAGCAUCUUUUUGUGUGCCUGUUGGCCAUCUGUACGUUUCUGGAGAAAUGUCUGCUUAGGUCUUUGGCCCGUUUUUUGAUUGGGUUGUUUGGAAUAUUGAGCUGCAGGAGCUAUUGGUCUAUUUUGGAGGUUAAUCCCAUGUCAGCCUCGUUGUUCACAACUCUUUUCUCCCAAACCAUAGGUUGUCUUUUUGUUUUGUUGUCGGUUUCCUUCACUGUGCAAAAGCCUGUCAGUUUGAUUGGGUCCCAUUGGUUUAUGUUUGCUUUUAUUUCCAUUACCUUGGGAGACUGACCUAAGAAAACACAUGGUAUGAUUUACAUCAGAAAAUGUUGUGCCUGGGAUCUCAGAGAUAUAUGGCAUAGUGUCUUUAACCCGUUUUGCAAUUAUUUUUGUGCAUGGUGUGAGGGUGUGUUCUGGUUUCAUUGAUUUACGUGUAGCUGUCCAGGUUUCCCAACCCUGGUUGGGAAGAGACUGUCUUUUGCCCCUUUGAUGUUCUUGCCUCCUUUGUGGAAGAUUAAGGGGCCAUGGGUGUGUGCGUUUAUUUCUGGGCUGUUGUUUAAAGAUACAGCAAGACAGCAUUAGAAGUGAAGGAGCUCAGUGUGUGUGGGGGGACAGAGCCCUGUCCCCAAGGACGUCCACACCCUGACCCCCAGACCUUGCGACUCUGUGACGUCCACAGCAGAGGGGACUUGGCAGCUGUGGCCACAUGAAGGACCUUGGCUGGGGAGAUGGCCGGGAUUUUCCAGGUGGUCCAGCGUCAUCACAGAGGUUCCCAUAAGAGGCAGAGGACCGUUUGAUCGCGAGAUGCUGGGCUUUAGGCUCUGGGGAUGGAGGAGGGACCGCACGCUCAGGACUGCUGCCGCCUCCAGAAGCUGGGAGAGGCCGCAGAUUCUCCGCUGGAGCUGCUCCAGGAGGAACCAGCCCUGCGGGCAGCCUGACUUGAGCGCUUUGGCCUUUAAAACACGAAGACAGCACAUCUUCCUUUGAAGCUGCCCGGUCUGUGGUACUUCUUUAGAGGGACCACGAGAGGCUGCGGGAUCCAGGGCUGCGAGGGAGCGGACACCGCAGAAAAGGUAACUCCUUGGGAAGCUCUGAUGACCGGACAGAUGAGCAGAAGCCGAAAGCUCAGGGAGAAAGAUCUACUUUUCCACGAACCGCUUUUCACGAGCGUCCCUAGGAGCCUGCGAACUCUGUGAGGGCAGGACUUAAGGUGCUUUGGGUUCCCUUCCAAAGGGGAGCAUGCCCACCCCUGCCCAACCGGUCCACCUGGCUGGAGCCCCAUGAGAAGCUGCCUGCUGGGGGUGUUGCAGUGUCAGAGGUCAGGUUGCACCCCCACCUCCCCGUGCCCCAACAUCCAGCACCCCGGUUCUGGAACACGUGUGUGGACUCAGAUGCACUGAGGCUGAAUUUGCAGGAACAGAGUUUGGAGCUGGCUAGCAGGGACCAUCUGAGUCCGAAGGUUUUGGGACCCGCCCUCCUGCCUGUCCUCCAGAGCAGCCCGAAGCUGAACUGCUUCCUGCAUCUCUGCAGAGCAGGGAGGUACAGACGAUGCUGGCAGCUCUCCUUCUCCUCUCAUGCCCCUGGACAUCCUCUGUGGUCACCUGCAGGUCUCCUCCAGCCAGCCGGCUGGCUCGCGGUAAGAACCGCCAGAGCACUUGCGAACGUCCAGGCAGUGGCCUCGCCUUGCCAGGGGACUUCAGAUGCCAGCCUCCAGUACCAGGAGGGAGAAAUGCCUCUUGUUGAAGCCGCCCCGUCUGGGGUAUCUGCUUUUGGCAGCUGAGCGGACUCAUACUGGUCUAGACUCACAGUCUGUAACCUCUGGGAGGAGGUCCAGGAAUGGAACCAUCCGAGAUGGACUCUCUAAUAUUUUCUGGGAGGAAUCAAGGGACUCCAAUGCUGGAAGCAAGGCCCCUGGAGGACCUCAGGGUGGUGCUGACAGCCCUUUGUGACUCAGGGACUCACCGGUGUCCGCCCAGGCAGUUCCCCUUUCCGUCGGCCUCAGGGAACUGCUCAGAUCUUCUCAUGAGAGGUAUGGGGACUCCCUGGGUUAAGGAUCUGGCCUCUGUCGUGAGCUGUGGUGUAGGUCACAGAAGUGGCUUGGAUCCCACAUGGCUGCGGUGUAGACUGGCAGCUGCAGCUCCGAUUCAACCCCUAUAGUCUGGGAACUUCCACAUGCUGCAGUCACGGCCCUAAAAAGAAAAAAAAGCUUUGAUCCCAGAACACAGGCGGGGGAUGACCCCAGAGGGGGAACAAAAAAAAAACAACCAGUGUGGUUAUUCUGGCUCUGGGGGUCCAGCUAACUGAGCGAUGGUGGAUUCAUAAAUUCUAGAACAGGAAGAGACUGGAACAGAAUCGCCAACACCCCGGGGCUACGUGACGGGCGGAUUCGUCAGGACUGUUUCUGGACCCAGAGUGAAGGGUCAGCAGGGGGCUGUCCCCGAGGAUGUAAGGUCUCCUUAGCCCUGGGCUGGGGUUCUCGGGGGGGACAGAUGUCUCAGCAGCAGAUGGGGAAGCGGGUAGUUACCGAGACCGUUACCUGGACCCCAGGCUGCAGGGACAUCGGUACCUAAAAUAAUCGGAACCUGUUUCUCUUUUCCCCGAGGAAUCCCGACUGCUCCACAGACAGGUGCCAGCGUUCAGACCCUGAGGCUGCCUCUGGCUCCGCAAGUGUGGAUGUGCCCAGGCAGGUCUCAGGACGGAGCCUCGAGAAGCAGGAAAGGCCGUGUGGAUGGAGCCCCUGGGGACGGAGAGGAGGAGGAAGAUGGACUGGGUCGAGCAGAGGAGUCAUCUGAUUCACCGUACAGGACAGCGUCCAGCCUUCACGCCGGGACGUCCUCCAGGGACGCCGUCGGGAGUCACAGGCUUCAGGAAGGUAGGUGCUUCGUCUGUAACGUCUUUAGC
Non-coding RNA from Sus scrofa (pig), 3219 nucleotides. The record is from RefSeq and is a predicted model, not a curated record. NCBI's taxonomy places the organism in Eukaryota, Metazoa, Chordata, Mammalia, Artiodactyla, Suidae.